RNAcentral lists this ribosomal RNA (458 nucleotides) under uncultured bacterium. RNAcentral's name for it is "partial 16S ribosomal RNA". It matches the Rfam family "Bacterial small subunit ribosomal RNA", at positions 338 to 795 of the family's 1533-position model. The record is from RNAcentral.
CCUACGGGAGGCAGCAGUGGGGAAUAUUGCACAAUGGGGGAAACCCUGAUGCAGCGACGCCGCGUGAGUGAAGAAGUAAUUCGUUACGUAAAGCUCUAUCAGCAGGGAAGAAACACUGACCUUACGGUCAGCAGACGGUACCUGAGUAAGAAGCCCCGGCUAACUACGUGCCAGCAGCCGCGGUAAUACGUAGGGGGCAAGCGUUAUCCGGAUUUACUGGGGGGAAAGGGGGCGUAGGCGGUGCGCCAAGUCUGGAGUGAAAUGCCGCAGCUUAACUGCGGAACUGCUUUGGAAACUGGCGAACUAGAGUGCGAGAGAGGUAAGCGGAAUGCGUGGUGUAGCGGUGAAAUGCGUAGAUAUUAGGAAGAACACCGGUGGCGAAGGCGGCUUACUGGACCGUAACUGACGUUGAGGCUCGAAAGCGUGGGGAGCAAACAGGAUUAGAUACCCCACUAGUC